This 489-nucleotide ribosomal RNA is filed under the name uncultured Chloroflexota bacterium. RNAcentral's name for it is "bacterial SSU rRNA". It matches the Rfam family "Bacterial small subunit ribosomal RNA", at positions 224 to 704 of the family's 1533-position model. The record is from RNAcentral. Lineage: Bacteria; Bacillati; Chloroflexota.
GAGGGGCUCGCGGCCUAUCAGCUAGUUGGCGGGGUAACGGCCCACCAAGGCUAUGACGGGUAGCUGGUCUGAGAGGACGACCAGCCACACGGGGACUGAGACACGGCCCCGACUCCUACGAAAGGCAGCAGUGGGGAAUUUUCCGCAAUAAGCGAAAGCCUGACGGAGUGACGCCGCGUGUGGGACGAAGGCCUUCGGGUCGUAAACCACUGUCAGUGGGAAAGAUGGGUGUCGGCGCUAAUACCGCCGGCAUCUGACGGUACCUGCAGAGGAAGCCCCGGCCAACUCUGUGCCAGCAGCCGCGGUAAGACAGAGGGGGCAAGCGUUGCUCGGAAUUACUGGGCGUAAAGGGCGCGUAGGCGGGAUGGCAAGUCGGUCGUGAAAUCCCUCGGCUCAACUGAGGAAUGUCGAUCGAUACUGCUGUUCUUGAGGAUUGCAGAGGAGACUGGAAUUCCCGAUGUAGCGGUGAAAUGUGUAGAGAUCGGGAGG